RNAcentral lists this ribosomal RNA (253 nucleotides) under Enterocloster bolteae. Its description in RNAcentral is "partial 16S ribosomal RNA". It matches the Rfam family "Bacterial small subunit ribosomal RNA", at positions 524 to 776 of the family's 1533-position model. Lineage: Bacteria; Bacillati; Bacillota; Clostridia; Lachnospirales; Lachnospiraceae. The record is from RNAcentral.
UACGUAGGGGGCAAGCGUUAUCCGGAUUUACUGGGUGUAAAGGGAGCGUAGACGGCGAAGCAAGUCUGAAGUGAAAGCCCGGGGCUUAACCCUGGGACUGCUUUGGAAACUGUUUUGCUAGAGUGCUGGAGAGGUAAGUGGAAUUCCUAGUGUAGCGGUGAAAUGCGUAGAUAUUAGGAGGAACACCAGUGGCGAAGGCGGCUUACUGGACAGUAACUGACGUUGAGGCUCGAAAGCGUGGGGAGCAAACAGG